CGGGCUUUUACCAUGUCUCCCAAACAAUUUCAGUACAUAUGGCGCAAGACGAUUUCACAUACAUAUCGAGGUCGGAAAGGGAUCGGGUGUUUUCACGUCUCACCAUAGUGCCCG
This 114-nucleotide ribosomal RNA is filed under the name Carex breviculmis. Lineage: Eukaryota; Viridiplantae; Streptophyta; Magnoliopsida; Poales; Cyperaceae. RNAcentral also lists the same sequence under 1 other name. The record is from RNAcentral.